This is a non-coding RNA of Delphinapterus leucas (beluga whale), 3179 nucleotides long. The record is from RefSeq and is a predicted model, not a curated record. Lineage: Eukaryota; Metazoa; Chordata; Mammalia; Artiodactyla; Monodontidae.
GCCUUUCGUCUUAUAUGUUUUCUCCUUUUCCUUUGGCUGUUUGUUGGUUUUUGUACGGACACCUAAUUUCUAAGAUGGCCGUGCCCACUGUGUCGUUUCCCAAUCUUCGUGCAAAGUGGAUUACUUUUCCCCCCAGCCCGCUGAGGCGGACGUAUCCUACCCCGUUUCCCUUGUGUGAGCUCGAGUUUCUGAAAAUCCGUGCAGUUUGCGGCGCAGGGUUUAAGUGGGGGUACUUUGGAUGGCUUUUAUCCGUUCCGUGCCUUCCGUGGCUACUUGGACAAAAACUGCCACUUCGCUUUCUGUACGGCGAGUCCUGAAAGGUGGCGGCCCCGGGAUCCGUGGCGAGAUGGGCGCAGACAUGAUCUCCGUGCCUGCUCCGUACAAACGCUGCGUGGCCCUCGUCGGCCGCCGUAGUCCGGCGCGGAGGCUGGGCGAAGGCGCAACAGUAAAAGAAUUCACGGAAGUGCGUAUUCUAGGAGGUAGUGGUGGGAUCAGGAGAAAAUCGGGACCGUGUGUGGAUCUCUGCGUGGAACAGGAUGAGGGAAACGAGUUCCUCAAGUCCAAGGCCUCGUUUGCCAAUCGCCUUUGGCUUUCCACAUCUUCUCUCGACCCCGUAGAAAUGAAAGCGUUGCUGGAGAUCGAGGAUUAAGCACACGUAAAGUGCUCACAGGUCGUGGUUCCUGGAGCAAGAUACAUCAUGUGAUGUGAGAAGGUUUCACGACCUGGAUAUCAUCAUUUGUGGGGACAUCACUGCCUGGAGACUAAGAUUUCUAACCAGAAAUUUAGGGCAGUUCAAGAAGAGGCUCAGGAGACAUCCUAGCUUUGGCUGUUUCCCAAUAACAGAUGAAAAUGAUCAAGGACCAGGGAUCACUGACACUGGAGGAUGUGGCCGUGGACUUCACGUGGGAGGAGUGGCAGCUCCUGGCCCCUGCUCAGAAGGACCUGUACCGGGACGUGAUGCUGGAGAACUAUAGCAACCUGCUGUCCAUUGGGUAUCAAGCCAGCAAGCCGGAUGCUCUCUCCAGAUUGGAACGAGGAGAACCGUGGCCAGUAGAAGAUGAAAUCCACAGUCAAAUCUGUCCAGAAAUGAGGAAAGAUGACUGUCUUCUGCAGGAGGACUUGCAAAAUCAAAGAUGUCCAAAAAGAAUGGAACAAUAUCACGAACAUAAUGCACUUGGAAACAUUGUUCAUCAGAGCAAAAGUAACUUUCCUUUAAGGCAAAAUCAUGAUAUGUUGGACUUUCAUGGGAAAACACUGAAAUCAAAUUUAAGUUUAGUCAACCAGAACAGAAGCUAUGGAGUAAAGAACCCUCUUGGAGAUGGGGAAUCCUUCCUCCAUGCAAAGCAUGAGCAAUUUCAUAGUGAAAUGAAAUUUACUGAAUGUGGAAGUUCUAUGAACACAAAUUCACAGUUCAUUAAGCAUCUAGGAACUCAGAAGAUAAAUAAACCCCACUUAUGCACUGAAUGUGGGAAAGCUUUCAUCAAGAAGUCCCGCCUCAUCGAUCAUCAGAGAGUGCACACAGGAGAAAAACCUCAUGGAUGCAGUAUAUGUGGGAAAGCCUUCUCCAGAAAGUCCAGGCUCACUGAACACCAGAAAACCCAUAUAGGAGAGAAACGGUAUACAUGCACUGAAUGUGACAAAGCCUUCCCCAAGAAAUCACGGCUGCUUAUUCAUCAGAAAACUCAUACAGGAGAAAAACCCUACAUAUGCGAGGAAUGUGGAAAAGGCUUCAUCAAGAAGUCUCGGCUCAUUAAUCAUCAGAGAGUUCAUACAGGAGAGAAACCUCAUGGGUGCAGUCUAUGCAACAAAGCAUUCUCCAGGAAGUCCCGGCUCAUCGAACAUCAGAGAACUCAUACGGGAGAAAAACCAUAUGAAUGCACUGAAUGUGACAAAGCCUUCCGCUGGAAAUCACAGCUUAAUGCACACCAGAAAACUCAUACAGGAGAGAAAUCAUAUAUAUGCAGUGAUUGUGGAAAAGCCUUCAUUCAGAAGGGCAAUCUCAUUGUGCAUCAGCGAACUCACACUGGAGAGAAACCCUAUAUGUGCAAUGAAUGUGGAAAAGGCUUCAUCCAGAAGGGCAAUCUCCUCAUACAUCAACGAACUCACACUGGAGAGAAACCCUAUGUAUGCACUGAAUGUGGGAAAGGCUUCAGCCAGAAAACAUGCCUCAUCUCACAUCAGAGAUUUCACACUGGAAAGACUCCCUUUGUAUGUACCGAAUGUGGAAAAUCGUGUUCACACAAGUCUGGCCUCAUUAACCAUCAGAGAAUUCACACAGGAGAGAAACCCUACGCAUGCAGUGACUGUGGGAAAGCCUUCAGGGAUAAGUCAUGCCUCAAUAGACAUCGGAGAACUCAUACAGGAGAAAGACCCUAUGGAUGCACUGACUGUGGGAAAGCCUUCUCCCACUUGUCAUGCCUCGUGUACCACAAAGGGAUGCUGCAUGCAAGAGAGAAACGUGGAGAUUCAGUCAAGUUGGAAAAUCCUUUCUCAGAGAGUCCCAGCUCAUCACGUUCGAGUGAUAUCAUACAGGGGAAAAACCCUGUUAAUGUGGAUGGAUUCAGGACAGAUGCUCCUCAGUAAAGCAUCAGAAAUAGAUUCUUCUUCAACUCGGAGUGCAGCUCUCUUCCACUUCUUGUGAAUUGCACGUCCUAUCAUGGCAGUCACGGCGUCUUUCCCAGUGAAAUCGUCCGUCUGGGUUCCCGAAUGGGCUGCCCAAGCCUGCCCUGAGGACCAGGUGCUGAACUCACCUUUCAGAGGUUGGCAUUCCAGGAAUCCCCGACAUAUGACGACAUGGCUAUGAAGUUCACGUGGGAGGAGUGGCAGCUCCUGGACCCCAAUCAGAAGGACCCGUACCCAGAUGUGAUGCUGGAGAACCAUAGCAACCUGGUAUCUUGUGGGGUGUCAAGCCUGCAGACCAGAUGCAUCCUCCAAGUUGGAACGAGGGGAAGAACCGUGGCCAAUAGAAGAUGAAAACCGCAGUUGAACCUGUUCAGCAUCUCUGCCUAUUUCUUCCACCUGCCUUGCUACAAGAUUCUACCUUCCUGCUCUUACUCCAAAGAUCUUUGAAGGGACCUUCCUUGUGGUGCAGUGGUUAAGAAUCCUCCUGCCAGUGCAGGGGACACGGGUUCGAGCCCUGGUCCAGGAAGAUCCCACAUGCCACAAAGCAACUAAGCCCG